UGAACGCUGGCGGCAGGCCUAACACAUGCAAGUCGAACGGUAGCACAGAGAGCUUGCUCUCGGGUGACGAGUGGCGGACGGGUGAGUAAUGUCUGGGAAACUGCCCGAUGGAGGGGGAUAACUACUGGAAACGGUAGCUAAUACCGCAUAACGUCUUCGGACCAAAGUGGGGGACCUUCGGGCCUCACACCAUCGGAUGUGCCCAGAUGGGAUUAGCUAGUAGGUGGGGUAAUGGCUCACCUAGGCGACGAUCCCUAGCUGGUCUGAGAGGAUGACCAGCCACACUGGAACUGAGACACGGUCCAGACUCCUACGGGAGGCAGCAGUGGGGAAUAUUGCACAAUGGGCGCAAGCCUGAUGCAGCCAUGCCGCGUGUAUGAAGAAGGCCUUCGGGUUGUAAAGUACUUUCAGCGGGGAGGAAGGCGAUGGAGUUAAUAGCUUCAUCGAUUGACGUUACCCGCAGAAGAAGCACCGGCUAACUCCGUGCCAGCAGCCGCGGUAAUACGGAGGGUGCAAGCGUUAAUCGGAAUUACUGGGCGUAAAGCGCACGCAGGCGGUCUGUCAAGUCGGAUGUGAAAUCCCCGGGCUUAACCUGGGAACUGCAUUCGAAACUGGCAGGCUAGAGUCUUGUAGAGGGGGGUAGAAUUCCAGGUGUAGCGGUGAAAUGCGUAGAGAUCUGGAGGAAUACCGGUGGCGAAGGCGGCCCCCUGGACAAAGACUGACGCUCAGGUGCGAAAGC
This 739-nucleotide ribosomal RNA is filed under the name Erwinia persicina. RNAcentral describes it as "bacterial SSU rRNA". It matches the Rfam family "Bacterial small subunit ribosomal RNA", at positions 30 to 760 of the family's 1533-position model. The record is from RNAcentral. Lineage: Bacteria; Pseudomonadati; Pseudomonadota; Gammaproteobacteria; Enterobacterales; Erwiniaceae.